AUGAACUCUUCUCCAGGCUUCAUGACUGCGAUACUCCUCAUUCUCGGAAGGACACAUGGAGACUCCGUGACUCAAACAGGAGAACAAGUGACCAUCUCAGAAGGCGAGUUCCUGACAAUAAAUUGCACGUAUUCAAUCACAAGCGUAGCGUACCCUGCUCUUUUCUGGUAUGUUCGACAUCCUGGAGAAAGUCUGCAGCUCCUCCUGAAAGUCCUUACAGCUGGUGAGAAGGGAAGCAGCAGAGGUUUUGAAGCUACAUAUGAUAAGGGAUCCAAAUCCUUCCACUUGCAGAAAGCCUCGGUCCAAGAGUCAGACUCAGCUGAGUACUACUGUGCUGUUGGUGACACAGUGACAGGAACUGCAGGGGGAGCUGAACACAAACUGAGAGGCAGCAGGCUGCCUGACUGCUGA
Molecule: non-coding RNA, 411 nt
Organism: Cricetulus griseus (Chinese hamster)
Lineage: Eukaryota; Metazoa; Chordata; Mammalia; Rodentia; Cricetidae
Source: the annotation of a RefSeq genome assembly